Molecule: non-coding RNA, 451 nt
Organism: Oryctolagus cuniculus (rabbit)
Lineage: Eukaryota; Metazoa; Chordata; Mammalia; Lagomorpha; Leporidae
Source: RefSeq, a predicted model, not a curated record
CUCGAAAUAAACAGUGUCCAACAGGUCAGGAAGCGGGGACAGAGCCCCGAGGUGGCAGUCACAGGAACACUGUUCCACAGUCAGGAAGCGGGGACAGAGCCCCGAGGUGGCAGUCACAGGAACAGUGUUCCACAGGUCAGGAAGCAGGACAGAGCCCCGAGGUGGCAGUCACAGGAACAGUGUUCCAGGUCAGGAAGCGGGACAGAGCCCCGAGGUGGCAGUCACAGGAACAGUGUUCCACAGUCAGGAAGCGGGGACAGAGCCCCGAGGUGGCAGUCACAGGAACAGUGUUCCACAGUCAGGAAGCGGGACAGAGCCCCGAGGUGGCAGUCACAGGAACAGUGUUCCACAGUCAGGAAGCGGGACAGAGCCCCGAGGUGGCAGUCACAGGAACAGUGUUCCACAGUCAGGAAGCAGGACAGAGCCCCGAGGUGGCAGUCACAGGAACAAG